Molecule: long non-coding RNA, 565 nt
Organism: Brassica napus (rape)
Lineage: Eukaryota; Viridiplantae; Streptophyta; Magnoliopsida; Brassicales; Brassicaceae
Exons: 2
Source: RefSeq, a predicted model, not a curated record
GUCGCCGAACGGGGCGGAGAGCGCGGCGGCCAUGACAAAGCCGCGUCAAUGCUAGUGGCCUCGGAGUCCGUCUUUGCAUGCAUGUCUCUCAAUUGGGUCUUCUCUCCUUGGUUUUUCCUUUGUGACAGAAUAAUAGAGCAAACGCUUCGAUAGACGUUAAACGCGAAAUGGUUUCGGAGGUUGUGCAAUAAAAGCGAAACCCGUAUGGGGUCUUUCAUAACUUCUUUUCAAGCAAGUUGGUCCCAUUUAAUGACGUUCCUCCCCACGCGCUUCCACGCAUAGCUACACCUACGAGACGGCUGAUUUUUAUAGAUGGCAGAAGGUGCGUCUCAAGCCACAGAAUCAGCGCGUGGGUUAUGAAAAUGGAAAAUGCAGUCAACUGUACUGACAGUAACCCAGAAUGUCUUUGAAGAACUGAAAACUCCUCAAUAAAUAGAUUUACACAUUUAUUUUCUUUUUAAUUCCUCAUUUUGGUGGGAAAAGGCCUCCCCCGAAAACUUUAAAAACUUGGGACUUUUAGUAACAAAAAAAUAACAUAUCCAAAAAGAACGUGACGUUUCCUUUC